This 508-nucleotide ribosomal RNA is filed under the name uncultured bacterium. Its description in RNAcentral is "partial 16S ribosomal RNA". The stretch from base 12 to 374 matches the Rfam family "Bacterial small subunit ribosomal RNA", at positions 39 to 400 of the family's 1533-position model. The record is from RNAcentral.
GACGAACGCUGGCGGCGUGCUUAACACAUGCAAGUCGAACGGAAAGGCCCUGCUUUUGUGGGGUGCUCGAGUGGCGAACGGGUGAGUAACACGUGAGUAACCUGCCCUUGACUUUGGGAUAACUUCAGGAAACUGGGGCUAAUACCGGAUAGGAGCUCCUGCUGCAUGGUGGGGGUUGGAAAGUUUCGGCGGUUGGGGAUGGACUCGCGGCUUAUCAGCUUGUUGGUGGGGUAGUGGCUUACCAAGGCUUUGACGGGUAGCCGGCCUGAGAGGGUGACCGGCCAAAGGGUGGGAGGGGCGACGGCCAGACGGGUGAGGCAGGCAGAAGGGGAUAAUGAUGAACACGGGACGGCAGCCGGCGGCAGCAGCGGCGCGGGGUGGAGGACGGCCGGGUGGUGGAAGCCGGCUCCCGGAGGAGACGAAGCGGGAGUGGAGGGAAUGAAUCAAGAACAACUGGCUAACUGCGUGACAGACGGUGCGGGAAAAGGUCGAACAGAACACCUUGAAC